This 440-nucleotide ribosomal RNA is filed under the name uncultured bacterium. RNAcentral's name for it is "partial 16S ribosomal RNA". It matches the Rfam family "Bacterial small subunit ribosomal RNA", at positions 338 to 795 of the family's 1533-position model. The record is from RNAcentral.
CCUACGGGAGGCUGCAGUGGGGAAUAUUGCACAAUGGGGGAAACCCUGAUGCAGCGACGCCGCGUGAGUGAAGAAGUAAUUCGUUAUGUAAAGCUCUAUCAGCAGGGAAGAAAAUAACGGUGCCUGAGUAAGAAUCCCCGGCUAACUACGUGCCAGCAGCCGCGGUAAUACGUAGGUGGCAAGCGUUAUCCGGAUUUACUGGGUGUAAAGGGAGCGUAGACGGCAGUGCAAGUCUGGAGUGAAAGGCGAGGGCUCAACCCCCGGACUGCUCUUGAAACUGUACGGCUGGAGUGCAGGAGAGGUAAGUGGAAUUCCGAGUGUAGCGGUGAAAUGCGUAGAUAUUCGGAGGAACACCAGUGGCGAAGGCGGAUUACUGGACUGUAACUGACGUUGAGGCGCGAAAGCGUGGGGAGUAAACAGGAUUAGAUACCCCGGUAGUC